AGAGUUUGAUCCUGGCUCAGGACGAACGCUGGCGGCGUGCCUAAUACAUGCAAGUAGAACGCUGAAGGAGGAGCUUGCUUCUCUGGAUGAGUUGCGAACGGGUGAGUAACGCGUAGGUAACCUGCCUGGUAGCGGGGGAUAACUAUUGGAAACGAUAGCUAAUACCGCAUGACAACAGUUAUUGCAUGAUAACUGUUUAAAAGGGGCAAUUGCUCCACUACCAGAUGGACCUGCGUUGUAUUAGCUAGUUGGUGAGGUAACGGCUCACCAAGGCGACGAUACAUAGCCGACCUGAGAGGGUGAUCGGCCACACUGGGACUGAGACACGGCCCAGACUCCUACGGGAGGCAGCAGUAGGGAAUCUUCGGCAAUGGACGGAAGUCUGACCGAGCAACGCCGCGUGAGUGAAGAAGGUUUUCGGAUCGUAAAGCUCUGUUGUAAGAGAAGAACGAGUGUGAGAGUGGAAAGUUCACACUGUGACGGUAUCUUACCAGAAAGGGACGGCUAACUACGUGCCAGCAGCCGCGGUAAUACGUAGGUCCCGAGCGUUAUCCGGAUUUAUUGGGCGUAAAGCGAGCGCAGGCGGUUAGAUAAGUCUGAAGUUAAAGGCUGUGGCUUAACCAUAGUACGCUUUGGAAACUGUUUAACUUGAGUGCAAGAGGGGAGAGUGGAAUUCCAUGUGUAGCGGUGAAAUGCGUAGAUAUAUGGAGGAACACCGGUGGCGAAAGCGGCUCUCUGGCUUGUAACUGACGCUGAGGCUCGAAAGCGUGGGAGCGAACAGGAUUAGAUACCCUGGUAGUCCACGCCGUAACGAUGAGUGCUAGUGUUAGACCCUUUCCGGGGUUUAGUGCGGUAGCUACGCAUUAAGCACUCCCGCCUGGGGAGUACGACCGCCAAGUUGAAACUCACAAGGAAUGAUCGGGGGGCCGCCCAGACAGCUGAGCAUGUUGUUUUAUUUCUAAGCAACACGCAGAAACUUAUCAGGCUUGAGAUACCGCGGGC
RNAcentral lists this ribosomal RNA (1002 nucleotides) under uncultured bacterium. RNAcentral's name for it is "bacterial SSU rRNA". It matches the Rfam family "Bacterial small subunit ribosomal RNA", at positions 8 to 996 of the family's 1533-position model. The record is from RNAcentral.